This is a long non-coding RNA of Erinaceus europaeus (western European hedgehog), 255 nucleotides long. RefSeq lists it as uncharacterized. The record is from RefSeq and is a predicted model, not a curated record. The transcript is spliced from 2 exons. NCBI's taxonomy places the organism in Eukaryota, Metazoa, Chordata, Mammalia, Eulipotyphla, Erinaceidae.
UGAGAGGUUAGGGAUGUUAAUUUAAAACUGAAAUUAAUAUUAGAGAUACAAUUUUUCUAAAUGUUUGAUUUCUGAUAGGAGGCCCUACAACCUGGAAAAUUCCAGUGAUAUCUAUACAUUAGAGGUUUGGUAAAGUGAAGUGAAACACUUGGCUUCUGUUCAAUAUUUCAUCCACUUUUCAUUAAACAAUAAAACAAAAAUACAUGCCAACUAAAGCUUAAACUAUUUCUAAACCUCUAAAUAUAUAUGUUUUAA